GACGAACGCUGGCGGCGUGCUUAACACAUGCAAGUCGAACGGAAAGGCCCUGCUUUUGUGGGGUGCUCGAGUGGCGAACGGGUGGGUAACACGUGAGUAACCUGCCCUUGACUUUGGGAUAACUUCAGGAAACUGGGGCUAAUACCGGAUAGGAGCUCCUGCUGCAUGGUGGGGGUUGGAAAGUUUCGGCGGUUGGGGAUGGACUCGCGGCUUAUCAGCUUGUUGGUGGGGUAGUGGCUUACCAAGGCUUUGACGGGUAGCCGGCCUGAGAGGGUGACCGGCCACAUUGGGACUGAGAUACGGCCCAGGCUCCUACGGGAGGCAGCAGUGGGGAAUAUUGCACAAUGGGCGGAAGCCUGAUGCAGCAACGCCGCGUGCGGGAUGACGGCCUUCGGGUUGUAAACCGCUUUCGCCCGUGACGAAGCGUGAGUGACGGUAAUGGGUAAAGAAGCACCGGCUAACUACGUGCCAGCAGCCGCGGUGAUACGUAGGGUGCGAGCGUUGUCCGGAUUUAUUGGGCGUAAAGGGCUCGUAGGUGGUUGAUCGCGUCGGAAGUGUAAUCUUGGGGCUUAACCCUGAGCGUGCUUUCGAUACGGGUUGACUUGAGGAAGGUAGGGGAGAAUGGAAUUCCUGGUGGAGCGGUGGAAUGCGCAGAUAUCAGGAGGAACACCAGUGGCGAAGGCGGUUCUCUGGGCCUUUCCUGACGCUGAGGAGCGAAAGCGUGGGGAGCGAACAGGCUUAGAUACCCUGGUAGUCCACGCUGUAAACGGUGGGUACUAGGUGUGGGGUCCAUUCCACGGGUUCCGUGCCGUAGCUAACGCUUUAAGUACCCCGCCUGGGGAGUACGGCCGCAAGGCUAAAACUCAAAGGAAUUGACGGGGCCCCGCACAAGCGGCGGAGCAUGCGGAUUAAUUCGAUGCAACGCGUAGAACCUUACCUGGGUUUGACAUGGAUCGGGAGCGCUCAGAGAUGGGUGUGCCUCUUUUGGGGUCGGUUCGCAGGUGGUGCAUGGCUGUCGUCAGCUCGUGUCGUGAGAUGUUGGGUUAAGUCCCGCAACGAGCGCAACCCUUGUUCACUGUUGCCAGCACGUUAUGGUGGGGACUCAGUGGAGACCGCCGGGGUCAACUCGGAGGAAGGUGGGGGUGACGUCAAGUCAUCAUGCCCCUUAUGUCCAGGGCUUCACGCAUGCUACAAUGGCUGGUACAGAGAGUGGCGAGCCUGUGAGGGUGAGCGAAUCUCGGAAAGCCGGUCUCAGUUCGGAUUGGGGUCUGCAACUCGACCUCAUGAAGUCGGAGUCGCUAGUAAUCGCAGAUCAGCAACGCUGCGGUGAAUACGUUCCCGGGGCU
This 1346-nucleotide ribosomal RNA is filed under the name uncultured bacterium. Its description in RNAcentral is "bacterial SSU rRNA". It matches the Rfam family "Bacterial small subunit ribosomal RNA", at positions 28 to 1381 of the family's 1533-position model. The record is from RNAcentral.